AAAAACACACACUGAGUGUGUUUGGGGGUGCGUACGAUCGCACGGGAGAAGAGGCAGAAAGGGGCACAAACCCUAAUUCAAGAUAAACCUUCAAAUUGAAAGGGGAAACUGGCUCUAAUCGGAUGCAUGGACCUAGAUUCUUAAUCAUCUAGACUUUCUACACAUGAGCUCGACUCUUGACAAGCUAUAUGGGAUCUUGGAGAAGAAUGGGUUAAACGGGUCAAGUACGCAAAGAAGCUUUAAUGGACACAAAGUAAGUAAGCUUACAUCUUUUGUAGAAUAUGAAUUUGUUUUUAUGAACUAUAAAUAUGAUAAAAUCGAAAUGUGGUUUCCGACGCGAUAUGGUACAUGUCGGAAUAGAUAUAAUCGAUAAAAACCAUGAUUAAUAGUAAAAAGGGCAAAUUGGUAAUUUAGUCAUGAAUGACUAAGUUUUAAUGAGUUUUCGUUAAGGUUACCUUAUAGUGUAACUAAUAAAAGAAAUAGCGGGGUAAAAUCCGAAAUGAGUCGUAUGCGUGAAUUUGAAAUUAAAAUAUUUUGUAAACAUCAAUAUUUGGUCAGUUAGACCACACGGGCCAAAUGGUAGUAAUAAUACCAUUUGACAAAUUCGACUAAUGUUUGGUUGGCAAGUCACUUGUUCAUAGGAACGAAUAGCAAUUUGGAUAAUUGUGUCGCCAUAAAGUUUCGGCUAAUAAAGCGAGGUAUAAAAACGGGUCUAUGCGUUGACUCGAGCCAGGUACGCGACGAAACGUUUUGUUGUUGUUAAUUGUUAAUACGUAAAUCUUAUAUAUUGAUGAUAUAUGAAAGUUCGAGAUGUAAAAAUGUUUGAUUUGUCUAUAAUAAGGAUUUAUGAUAGACAAAUCAACGGGUUGAGCAAUAAUAGGUGCAAACCGGGUAAAUGGGUGCACAAUUCCAUAAGUGCUAAGCCCGGGGUUACGGGUAAAGAAACAUUAAACACACAAGCCGGUAGUCGAAGCGAGAAUGCGAGUAGAUUAAAGGAUUUGGGGACGGGUUGUCAAAUUGAGUAUUAAGUCCCAUGCAUAGGAAUGUGAUUGAAAUAGGAUUUAUUGCUUAUUAGCGAACUAACCUCGUGUAUGUGUUUAUACAGUUUAAAUCAGUUGAAGUAAUAAGUUACUAAACCAUUGUCUUGAGUAUGAAAUGAGAAUGCAGGUAUUCUUUUAACGUCGUUAUCAGGGUUAAAGAAUUUGGAAUGCACGAAUGUACACGGAAAGCUUAUUCGUGGGGAUUAGUAUGGGAAGAAGGAACGCGGACUGGCUAUUGAUUACGUAGGUCUAGUUUAGGAAUGAUGUCAUUGUAUCUAACCGAUGUAUAUGUAUGUGGUGAAUGCAGGUGGCGUGGACUUAGCAUCAUUACGAAGAAAAGAAGGUUUGAAGAUCGAGUCAAGAGCGAGGGUUGUACGGGAAGGACCAGUCAUAUAAUUUGACAAAAAAAAAUAUAGGUCUUGAAGUAUUAAUAUAAUGGGAAGUGGUAAAUUCCUUUUUAAUGAGUGUAUGAAUUUUUUUCUUGGAACCUUCCUGUAAGUAUUAUGUCCAGUAAAGAACGAAAUUUUUGGGCUCUUA
This is a long non-coding RNA of Helianthus annuus (common sunflower), 1577 nucleotides long. RefSeq lists it as uncharacterized. NCBI's taxonomy places the organism in Eukaryota, Viridiplantae, Streptophyta, Magnoliopsida, Asterales, Asteraceae. The record is from RefSeq and is a predicted model, not a curated record. The transcript has 2 exons.